AGUGAACGCUGGCGGUAGGCCUAACACAUGCAAGUCGAACGGCAGCACAGUAAGAGCUUGCUCUUACGGGUGGCGAGUGGCGGACGGGUGAGGAAUACAUCGGAAUCUACUUUUUCGUGGGGGAUAACGUAGGGAAACUUACGCUAAUACCGCAUACGACCUACGGGUGAAAGCAGGGGAUCUUCGGACCUUGCGCGAUUGAAUGAGCCGAUGUCGGAUUAGCUAGUUGGCGGGGUAAAGGCCCACCAAGGCGACGAUCCGUAGCUGGUCUGAGAGGAUGAUCAGCCACACUGGAACUGAGACACGGUCCAGACUCCUACGGGAGGCAGCAGUGGGGAAUAUUGGACAAAGGGCGCAAGCCUGAUCCAGCCAUACCGCGUGGGUGAAGAAGGCCUUCGGGUUGUAAAGCCCUUUUGUUGGGAAAGAAAAGCAGCAGGUUAAUACCCCGCUGUUCUGACGGUACCCAAAGAAUAAGCACCGGCUAGCUUCGUG
RNAcentral lists this ribosomal RNA (492 nucleotides) under uncultured bacterium. RNAcentral describes it as "partial 16S ribosomal RNA". It matches the Rfam family "Bacterial small subunit ribosomal RNA", at positions 29 to 507 of the family's 1533-position model. The record is from RNAcentral.